This 261-nucleotide long non-coding RNA is filed under the name Lathyrus oleraceus (garden pea). RNAcentral describes it as "Pisum sativum (pea) long non-coding RNA (PSAT_LNC025335)". The record is from RNAcentral. Lineage: Eukaryota; Viridiplantae; Streptophyta; Magnoliopsida; Fabales; Fabaceae.
CCUCUGGCUCCUCUUUUCUCCUUUUGGUUUAAACACAAGUGCAAUACCAUUUUCUUUUGAGAUACAACUCUCGGUCAUUCUCACUUUCUUGGUUUUGACACCAUUUUCUUUCGAGAUACACCUCUUGGUCAUUCUCACUAUAUUGGUUUCGACACCACUUUCUUUUGAGAUACACCUCUUGGUCAUUCUCCCCUUCUUGGUUUUGACACCACUUUUAUUUCAGUUCUUGGUUAUGACACCAUAAUUCAAGGACACAUCUAC